AGCUAGAUGAGCUCUUAGAGCUCCAUAAACAUUUAAAGGUUUGGUCCCAGCCUUCCUAUUAGUUAUUAGCAAAUUUACACAUGCAAGUAUCCGCAUCCCUGUGAGAAUACCCUCUAAGUCAUAAUUGACUAAAAGGAGUGGGUAUCAAGCACACUCUUUAUAGAGUAGCUAAUUACACCUUGCCUAGCCACACCCCCACGGGAAACAGCAGUGAUAAAAAUUAAGUAAUAAACGAAAGUUUGACUAAGUUAUGCUAAUCUAGGGUUGGUAAAUUUCGUGCCAGCCACCGCGGUCAUACGAUUAACCCAAAUUAAUAGGUAACGGCGUAAAGUGUGUUAAAGAUUUAACAAAAUAAAUAAAGAUAAAAUUUAGCUAGGCUGUAGAAAGCAACAGCUAAAAUUAAAAUAUACUACGAAAGUGACUUUAUUAAGUCUACUACACGAUAGCUGAGAUCCAAACUGGGAUUAGAUACCCCACUAUGCUCAGCCUUAAACUCAAGUAAUUCACAAACAAAAUUACUCGCCAGAGGACUACUAGCAAUAGCUUAAAACUCAAAGGACUUGGCGGUGCUUUAUAUCCUUCUAGAGGAGCCUGUUCUAUAAUCGAUAAACCCCGAUAAACCUCACCACCCCUUGCUAAUCCAGCUUAUAUACCGCCAUCUUCAGCAAACCCCAAAAGGGAACUAUAGUAAGCAGAAACAUCUAACAUAAAAACGUUAGGUCAAGGUGUAGCUCAUGAGGUGGGAAGAAAUGGGCUACAUUUUCUAUUACUUAGAACAUAACGAAAGUCUCUAUGAAAUCAGUGACUAAAGGAGGAUUUAGUAGUAAGCCAAGAAUAGAGUGCUUGACUGAAUUAGGCCAUGAAGCACGCACACACCGCCCGUCACCCUCCUCAAGUACAUAAACUAACCUUAUUCCUGAAUAAACAGUAUAAUCAUAUUAGAGGAGAUAAGUCGUAACAAGGUAAGCAUACUGGAAAGUGUGCUUGGACAAAUCAAAGU
This 1000-nucleotide non-coding RNA is filed under the name Neomys anomalus (southern water shrew). Its description in RNAcentral is "partial 12S ribosomal RNA". It matches the Rfam family "Bacterial small subunit ribosomal RNA". Lineage: Eukaryota; Metazoa; Chordata; Mammalia; Eulipotyphla; Soricidae. The record is from RNAcentral.